Molecule: non-coding RNA, 373 nt
Organism: Penaeus vannamei (Pacific white shrimp)
Lineage: Eukaryota; Metazoa; Arthropoda; Malacostraca; Decapoda; Penaeidae
Source: RefSeq, a predicted model, not a curated record
GACUGAUUGUUGACUUGAAAGGCUACCUUGUCCUUGAGAUGUUUUACAUGAUAUGGCUUUGUGUUGCUAUUGCGGCGACAGUUGUCAUCUACGUGGUGGACAGUGAAAGGGGAGGCUACUUGAUGAAGUCACCAGCUCAGAAGUUGGCUGCUGAGAAAGAGGGACAAAUAAAUGUUGGAGUGAAGAUAUCCGAAGGAGGGCAGGAUGUGGAGUGAGGGUUGUCAGAGGUCCAGCCUUGUGAUGGACUGUAAUGGUUGCCUUGAUAUCCACUGUGGUAAUGUGGUUGACGGAUUCAGCUUCAAGAGGAGUGCUUAAUCUAACUGUUGCUGAGCGGCGGAACAGAGAGUCGGACAGGGAGUAUGUGCUUUUUUGU